Long non-coding RNA from Balaenoptera acutorostrata (minke whale), 865 nucleotides. RefSeq lists it as uncharacterized. The record is from RefSeq and is a predicted model, not a curated record. The transcript has 3 exons. NCBI's taxonomy places the organism in Eukaryota, Metazoa, Chordata, Mammalia, Artiodactyla, Balaenopteridae.
GCUUAGCCGGCCUGACAUGCGCAGUACGCGGGUGCUGCGGCGGCCGGGAGGUGCCGCGGUCUCGGGCACACCUGGCGGCCUGGGACGCGGAGGAAUUCUUACGAAGUGUGGGGGGAAGAAGCCCAUCAGUAGUUUCCUAGUGUGAUGAAAUGAUUUUGGAAAUUACACUUAACAGCGGAUGGAGCUGACAUCGUGAGAGCCUGCAGCCUGGUGCCUGCGGGGCUGGAGGGCAGCUGGGCCCCUGUAAGGCCCGCGGUCGAGGUGGGUUAGGACGCGGCCCCAAACGGGUGAAUCCGCUCUGUGCCCGGUCGUCCAGUUUUCCCUCCCGAGGACGCAAGGCGCAGAAGCCGCUGGGGAAGAGGACAGGCCAGAGUCUGCUGGGUUGACACGGGGUGAAAACGUAAUUGAAAAUCUUGAGCAAAAGUGGGAUUGUUUUUGCUUUGAGGGAAGCAGCGUCGGACGCUGUGGGAAGCCUGGCGCCCCAGGCCCUCCUCGAGUAUGGGGGAGAGAGAGGUCUUUGUGGUCUUGUGGUAUGUUUUUCAUACGUUCAGAAUCUGAUUUUCAUUAAAAUGGCAAGAUCAGUACCGUCAAAUUAGGAACGACUGUCCGCUAAUCUUUCAGAAGUUGUUGGAAGUUAUGCUCUCUGUGUGUUAAACGUUAUAUCUAGACUCGCAGUUCGUACGCUUGAUGUUCCACUCAGCUCUGGGCACGCUGGCUGUCCAUCUCCCGGAACUGCAUUUCCAGGUUAAACACAAAAUGCAGCCUGAACUCCUGGUCAGUCACGCGUUUCUAAAGAUAAAGGAAAGCAGCUUCUUGUAGGAAGGAGGUGGGCGUGGUGGGGCCUGCAGAGCGGGGGCAGCUUCUC